Molecule: ribosomal RNA, 460 nt
Filed under: uncultured bacterium
Lineage: Bacteria
Description: partial 16S ribosomal RNA
Rfam family: Bacterial small subunit ribosomal RNA
Source: RNAcentral
CCUACGGGUGGCAGCAGUGAGGAAUAUUGGUCAAUGGACGAGAGUCUGAACCAGCCAAGUAGCGUGAAGGAUGACUGCCCUAUGGGUUGUAAACUUCUUUUAUAAAGGAAUAAAACGAGGCACGUGUGCCUUUUUGCAUGUACUUUAUGAAUAAGGAUCGGCUAACUCCGUGCCAGCAGCCGCGGUAAUACGGAGGAUCCGAGCGUUAUCCGGAUUUAUUUGGUUUAAAGGGAGCGUAGAUGGGUUGUUACGUCAGGUGUGAAAGUUUGCGGGUCAACCGUAAAAUUGCAAUUGAUACUGGCAGUCUUGAGUACAGUUGAGGUAGGCGGAAUUCGUGGUGUAGCGGUGAAAUGCUUAGAUAUCACGAAGAACCCCGAUUGCGAAGGCAGCAUACUAAACUGUGACUGACAUUGAUGCUCGAAAGUGUGGGUAUCAAACAGGAUUAGAUACCCUUGUAGUC